Molecule: ribosomal RNA, 376 nt
Filed under: uncultured Thauera sp.
Lineage: Bacteria; Pseudomonadati; Pseudomonadota; Betaproteobacteria; Rhodocyclales; Zoogloeaceae
Description: bacterial SSU rRNA
Rfam family: Bacterial small subunit ribosomal RNA
Source: RNAcentral
UAGAGAGUAGAAGUUACUUCGGUACAUCGGUGACAGGUGGUGCAUGGUUGUCGUCAGCUCGUGUCGUGAGAUGUUGGGUUAAGUCCCGCAACGAGCGCAACCCUUGUCACUAGUUGCCAUCAUUUAGUUGGGCACUCUAGUGAGACUGCCGGUGACAAACCGGAGAAGGUGGGAUGACGUCAAGUCCUCAUGGCCCUUAUGGUAGGGCUUCACACGUCAUACAAUGGUCGGUACAGAGGGUUGCCAAGCCGCGAGGUGGAGCCAAUCCCUUAAAGCCGAUCGUAGUCCGGAUCGUAGUCUGCAACUCGACUACGUGAAGUCGGAAUCGCUAGUAAUCGCAGAUCAGCAUGCUGCGGUGAAUACGUUCCCGGGUCUU